This 75-nucleotide transfer RNA is filed under the name Candidatus Woesearchaeota archaeon. RNAcentral describes it as "tRNA-Met". It matches the Rfam family "tRNA". From Rfam's summary of the family: Transfer RNA (tRNA) molecules are approximately 80 nucleotides in length. Their secondary structure includes four short double-helical elements and three loops (D, anti-codon, and T loops). Further hydrogen bonds mediate the characteristic L-shaped molecular structure. tRNAs have two regions of fundamental functional importance: the anti-codon, which is responsible for specific mRNA codon recognition, and the 3' end, to which the tRNAs corresponding amino acid is attached (by aminoacyl-tRNA synthetases). tRNAs cope with the degeneracy of the genetic code in two manners: having more than one tRNA (with a specific anti-codon) for a particular amino acid; and 'wobble' base-pairing, i.e. permitting non-standard base-pairing at the 3rd anti-codon position. Lineage: Archaea; Nanobdellati; Candidatus Woesearchaeota. The record is from RNAcentral.
GCCGGUGUAACUCAGCCUGGUUAGAGUGCUUCGCUCAUAACGCAGUUGUCGCGUGUUCAAAUCACGCCACCGGCA